GAUGAAGAACGUAGUGAAAUGCGAUAAGUAACGUGAAUUGCAGAAUUCAGUGAAUCAUCGAAUCUUUGAACGCACAUUGCGCCCCCUGGUAUUCCGGGGGGCAUGCCUGUCCGAGCGUCAUUACAACCCUCAAGCUCAGCUUGGUGUUGGGCCCCGCCGCCCCGGCGGGCCCUAAAGUCAGUGGCGGUGCCGUCCGGCUCCGAGCGUAGUAAUUCUUCUCGCUCUGGAGGUCCGGUCGUGUGCUCGCCAGCAACCCCCAAUUUUUUUCAGGUUGACCUCGGAUCAGGUAGGGAUACCCGCUGAACUUAAGCAUAUCAAUAAGCGGAGGA
This 329-nucleotide unclassified non-coding RNA is filed under the name soil metagenome. RNAcentral's name for it is "partial contains 5.8S ribosomal RNA, internal transcribed spacer 2, and large subunit ribosomal RNA". The stretch from base 1 to 120 matches the Rfam family "5.8S ribosomal RNA", at positions 35 to 154 of the family's 154-position model. The record is from RNAcentral.